This 207-nucleotide ribosomal RNA is filed under the name uncultured bacterium. RNAcentral describes it as "partial 16S ribosomal RNA". It matches the Rfam family "Bacterial small subunit ribosomal RNA", at positions 568 to 774 of the family's 1533-position model. The record is from RNAcentral.
CGUGUAGGCGGCCGAUUAAGUCCGGAGUGAAAGUCCUGCUUUCAAGGUGGGAAUUGCUUUGGAAACUGGUUGGCUUGAGUGCGGAAGAGGUAAGUGGAAUUCCCAGUGUAGCGGUGAAAUGCGUAGAGAUUGGGAGGAACACCAGUGGCGAAGGCGACUUACUGGGCCGUAACUGACGCUGAGGCGCGAAAGCGUGGGGAGCGAACA